UACGUAGGGUGCGAGCGUUGUCCGGAAUUAUUGGGCGUAAAGAGCUCGUAGGCGGUUCCGUAAGUCGAGUGUGAAAAAUCUGGGCUCAACCCAGUGGAGCACUCGAUACUGCGGUGACUGGAGUACGGUAGAGGAGUGUGGAAUUCCUGGUGUAGCGGUGAAAUGCGCAGAUAUCAGGAGGAACACCGACGGCGAAGGCAGCACUCUGGGCCGGUACUGACGCUGAGGAGCGAAAGCGUGGGGAGCAAACAGG
This 253-nucleotide ribosomal RNA is filed under the name uncultured bacterium. RNAcentral's name for it is "partial 16S ribosomal RNA". It matches the Rfam family "Bacterial small subunit ribosomal RNA", at positions 524 to 776 of the family's 1533-position model. The record is from RNAcentral.